GAUGGACUUUCAACAUUGUUUUACCUUUCAAAGUUUUCCCUUUGUCAGCUUUUUAUGAACUAAGCAAGGUGUUUAUAUAUUGCCACCUAGCCUUUUCUUCUCUCUAAAGUGAGCGCUGUGGAGUUCCAUGGUGGCCUGGUGAGUUAAGGACACAGCAUUGUCACUGCUAUGGCAUGGGUUCAAUCCCUGGCCUGGAAAUUUCUGCAGGCCACAGGCACAGCCAAAUACAAAUAAGUGCUGAAGGGCAGAAAGAGUCUUUCUCAACUCAGAAGCCCCAAACUUAGCACACUUUGUAGAACCCCUUACAUACAGGUUUGGUUUUUUUGUUUUUUGAGGGGUUUUUUUUUGGUCCUUUUGUCUUUUUAGGGCCACAGCCAUGGCACAUGGAAGUGCCCAGGCCAGGGGUCCACUUGGAGCUGCAGUCGCCAGUCUAUACACGGGAUCCGAGCUGCGUCUGCAACCUACGCCACAGCUCAUGGUAAUGCUGGAUCCUUAACCCACUGAGCGAAGCCGGGGAUCGAACCUGUGUUUUCAUGGAUGCUAGUCAGGUUUGCUAACUGCUGAGCUAUGACAGGAACUCCCAUACAGGUAUUUUUGUACAAAACCAUGUGUCCAAAACCAUCUAUACUGACUCUGCUGGGCAAAGCAGAUUACAAAUGCAAUCUACAUCAAGGCAGCCCUGACGUCUAUGACCUCUGCUUAGAAUAGAAAGUGCCAGUACCUUUCAGCCUAGAGGCUGGAAAAGGCUUCUUAAAUGCUGCCAUUUAUGUUACAUGAAAGAUACAUCUGGAUAAGAAGUAACUAAAAUAAGAAGCAGUUAAAGGCCUAGGCUUGGGGUAAAAAUGGGUUAAAAUCUAAACCAACCCUACCAUUUAAUGUCCCCAGCAAGUCACUUAACCUCUCUGAACCCUCCACUCUGCCACAAGGUGCCAAGUCCUAGGAAUGAUGGGGCAUCUGACUCCUUUGCACCUAAUGAGGUUCAGUGUCUCCAUCCUAUUCCUCUGGGUGUGAUUAAAAGUUAACACGCCAGUGUCCCACAUCUGCAUCUCCUACGAUGGGGUGUCCUCCUUGAUAAGUGAGCACUGGUGGGAGGGGAGCCCACGCCAUCAAAGACACUGAGAAGGAAGGUCAUCGCCCCCUCCCAUCCCUGGCACCGUAUGUGCUCAUGUCACCAAGACCUGGACAAUCACUGCUCCCACCAAGACCCUGAGUCUAGAGCAAGCGCUACAAGGAGACAAGGAUGGAGAUGAACAGAGCUGAGUGGCACAGUGGUAACUGGACGUCAGGGCCUGGCUGGAGCCAGCAGGGACGUCCUCACUGGAGCAUCCACAGCACAUGGUGGCUCACUGUUCUAUGUUAUGGUUUUGCUAUGGUUCUGACAAAAUAGCUUCCUUUGGUAAUUGCUGGAUAUCCUUUCAGUAUAUUCUUUUUCUGCUCAAGUCCUUAUUUGUAACCAAGAAGGUGUGGACAGAAGUGAGAAAUUUUUGACUACCUUUGGCUUCAAGAAGUUCAAGAGGAUGGCAAAAACAAAACAUCAAAAACAGUCAAACCAGAGAAGUGAUGGCUUGGAAAAUAAGACUGAGCAAAGAUUCACACUGAGAAAGUGGCAUUCACUGAGUUUGCCCUCCUCUUUUUUGUAUCCUAACCUUUACAACAGCUCCCUCCUUCAUGAAACCAAAUGCUUUCUCUGUUUGCUUGACAGAGUGGAGGACACUACAACCAGAAAACAUAUUGAUUUUCUUUGCUUUAUUCUGUUGAUAACUUCUUCAGUUCUCAAAUUUCUCUCUGAUUCUUAUAAACUGGAAGUGAUUGCUUAUUAAACACUUCAGCACUCAGUUCAGUUUAACAAAUCUUUAUUAAGCACCAUUAACAAAUCUUUGCAAAGCACCAUGGUAUGCACCAAAGUUAAACUCAAUAACAAAUGAAAACACUCUAAUUCAAAAAUUCAACUGGAGAUUUUGUAAUUAAUGGGGUUUGAUCCCCGGCCUUGCUCAGUGGGUUUAGGAUCCAGCGCUGCCAUGAGCUGUGGUGUACGUUGCAGACAUGGGUCGGAUCCCAUGUUGCUGAGGCUGUGGUGUAGGCUGGUAGCUGCAGCUCCAAUUCAACCCCCUAGCCUGCAAACUUCCAUAUGCUACAGGCAUGGCCCUAAAAAGAUGAAAGAAAGAGACAAAGAGACAAAGAGAGAAAGAGGAAGGAAGGAAGGAAGGAAGGAAGGAAGGAAGGAAGGAAGGAAGGAAGGAAACAACCCAAAAGGUUUCAAAGUGGUGACCUCUGAGCCAAAUGCAAACGACAGGGCAGAUUUAGACUGACCCACAUGGGGUUGGUGUUGUUUAAGUUUUCUAUCCUUAACUUAAAACUCAGAUUUCUAUGAAAAUUGGGAAUCCCGCCCCUAACCUCCCCGGGCUGCCACCUGGCAAUGUGGAGCCAGUUCUAGCAGCCUCUGCUCCCGUUAUAAGGGGCACAGAGUCCUCCAUGUGUCACAGGGCCCAGCCUCUGCUACUUAAUAUCAAACCCACUUCACAAAUGUACUGUCCCAAGAGGCACUAUAGAUUCUUAUUUUAACUACAUCAUAAAGUGGGCUUUUAAAAAAAAUAGACACACACACACUUAAUUCAAAUGCUUCAAAACUUCCUUUCUUUACCAGGAAAAAGAUGGAAGAAAAAAAUAUUUUUCCCCCUUCAAUCAAACAUUCUCUGGAUUUUAGGCAUUCUCGUUGUGGCUCAGCAGGUUAUGAACCUGACAUAGAGUCCAUGAAGAUGCAGGUUUGAUCCCUGGCCUUGCUCAGUGAGUUAAAGAUCUAGGAGUGCCACAAGCUGCGGUGUAGGUCACAGAUGUGGCUUGGAUCUGGUAUUGCUGUGGCUGUGGUGUAGGCCAGCAGCUGCAGUUCCAAUUCAACCCCUAGCCUGGGAACC
Molecule: long non-coding RNA, 2912 nt
Filed under: Sus scrofa (pig)
Lineage: Eukaryota; Metazoa; Chordata; Mammalia; Artiodactyla; Suidae
Description: lncRNA (ENSSSCG00000060724.1)
Source: RNAcentral